RNAcentral lists this non-coding RNA (31 nucleotides) under Rattus norvegicus (Norway rat). Lineage: Eukaryota; Metazoa; Chordata; Mammalia; Rodentia; Muridae. The record is from RNAcentral.
UACAGAGUAGGGAUUUCCCACUUACAUUUGU